RNAcentral lists this unclassified non-coding RNA (205 nucleotides) under uncultured Diaporthales. RNAcentral's name for it is "sequence contains ITS1". The record is from RNAcentral. Lineage: Eukaryota; Fungi; Ascomycota; Sordariomycetes; Diaporthales.
CUGGAACUGUGUCCGCAAGGACACAACCCCAGAUACCCUUUGUGAACUUAUUUUUAUCGUUGCCUCGGCGCUGAGCUGGGAGCCCUUUUUGGUGCUCUCCCAUGGCCCCUGACUUUUGUCAGAACCAUGGAGCAAGCCCGCCGGCGGCCCAUUAAACUAUUAUUUUUAACUUGUUUCUCUGAGUUUUUAAAACAUAAAUGAAUCA